GGACCUAGCGUAGUUCGGAAUUACUGGGCUUAAAGAGCUCGUAGGUGGUUAGAAAAGUUGGUGGUGAAAUCCCAAGGCUUAACCUUGGAACUGCCGCCAAAACUUUUUGACUAGAGUAUGAUAGAGGAAAGUGGAAUUUCUAGUGUAGAGGUGAAAUUCGUAGAUAUUAGAAAGAACACCAAUUGCGAAGGCAACUUUCUGGAUCAUUACUGACACUGAGGAGCGAAAGCAUGGGUAGCGAAGAGGAUUAGAUACCCUCGUAGUCCAUGCCGUAAACGAUGUGUGCUAGACGUUGGAAAUUUAGUUUUCAGUGUCGCAGCGAAAGCGUUAAGCACACCGCCUGGGGAGUACGACCGCAAGGUUAAAACUCAAAUGAAUUGACGGGGACCCGCACAAGUAGUGGAGCAUGUGGUUUAAUCCGAAGAUACGCGCAGAACCUUACCAACACUUGACAUGUUCGUCGCGACUUUAAGAGAUUAGAGUCUUCGGUUCGGCCGGACGAAACACAGGUGCUGCAUGGCUGUCGUCAGCUCGUGUCGUGAGAUGUUGGGUUAAGUCCCGCAACGAGCGCAACCCUUACUUUUAGUUGCUACCAUUAAGUUGGGCACUCUAAAAGAACUGCCGGUGAUAAGCUGGAGGAAGGCGGGGAUGACGUCAAGUCCUCAUGGCCCUUAUGUGUUGGGCUACACACGUGCUACAAUGGUACUUACAGUGAGAAGCGAAGAGGCGACUCUAGGCUAAUCUUUAAUAGGUAUCUCAGUUCGGAUUGCACUCUGCAACUCGAGUGCAUGAAGCUGGAAUUACUAGUAAUCGCGGAUCAGCGCGCCGCGGUGAAUAAGUUCCCGGGUCUUGCACACACCGCCCGUC
Molecule: ribosomal RNA, 867 nt
Filed under: uncultured bacterium
Lineage: Bacteria
Description: bacterial SSU rRNA
Rfam family: Bacterial small subunit ribosomal RNA
Source: RNAcentral